Molecule: ribosomal RNA, 460 nt
Filed under: uncultured bacterium
Lineage: Bacteria
Description: partial 16S ribosomal RNA
Rfam family: Bacterial small subunit ribosomal RNA
Source: RNAcentral
CCUACGGGAGGCAGCAGUGAGGAAUAUUGGUCAAUGGACGAAAGUCUGAACCAGCCAAGCCGCGUGAAGGAAGACGGCCCUAUGAGUUGUAAACUGCUUUUGUACGAGGGUAAACGGAGAUACGCGUGUCUGUCUGAAAAUAUCGUAAAAAAAAGGAUCGGCUAACUCCGGGCCAGGCGCCGAGGUAAUACGGAGAGUUCAAGCGUUAUUCGGAUUUAUUGGGUUUAAAGGGGUCGGAGGCGGUAGGAUAAUUUAGGGGUGAAAUCUCGAGGCUCAACUUCGGAAUUGCCUCUGAUACUGUUCGGCUAGAGAGUAGUUGCGGUAUGCGGAAUGUGUGGUGUAGCGGUGAAAUGCUUAGAGAUCAUACAGAACACCGAUUGCGAAGGCAGCUUACCAAGCCACUUCUGACGUUGAGGCACGAAAGCGUGGGGAGCAAACAGGAUUAGAUACCCUAGUAGUC